This 460-nucleotide ribosomal RNA is filed under the name uncultured bacterium. RNAcentral's name for it is "partial 16S ribosomal RNA". It matches the Rfam family "Bacterial small subunit ribosomal RNA", at positions 338 to 795 of the family's 1533-position model. The record is from RNAcentral.
CCUACGGGAGGCAGCAGUGAGGAAUAUUGGUCAAUGGGCGCGAGCCUGAACCAGCCAAGUAGCGUGAAGGAUGACUGCUCUACGGGUUGUAAACUUCUUUUAUAAAGGAAUAAAGUGAGGCACGUGUGCCGUUUUGUAUGUACUUUAUGAAUAAGGGUCGGCUAACUCCGUGCCAGCAGCCGCGGUAAUACGGAGGCUCCGAUCGUUAUCCGGAUUUAGUGGGUUUAAAGGGAGCGUAGGUGGGUUGUUAAGUCAGGUGUGAAAGUUUUCGGCUCAACCGUAAAAUUGCAAUUGAUACUGGCAGCCUUGAGUACAGUUGAGGUAGGCGGAAUUCGUGGUGUAGCGGUGAAAUGCUGAGAUAUCACGAAGAACUCCGAUUGCGAAGGCAGCUUACUAAACUGCAACUGACAUUGAUGCUCGAAAGUGUGGGUAUCAAACAGGAUUAGAUACCCUUGUAGUC